Molecule: ribosomal RNA, 465 nt
Filed under: Vreelandella stevensii
Lineage: Bacteria; Pseudomonadati; Pseudomonadota; Gammaproteobacteria; Oceanospirillales; Halomonadaceae
Description: partial 16S ribosomal RNA
Rfam family: Bacterial small subunit ribosomal RNA
Source: RNAcentral
CCUACGGGAGUCUGCAGUGGGGAAUAUUGGACAAUGGGCGAAAGCCUGAUCCAGCCAUGCCGCGUGUGUGAAGAAGGCCUUCGGGUUGUAAAGCACUUUCAGUGGGGAAGAAAGCCUUGGGGCUAAUACCCUCGAGGAAGGACAUCACCCACAGAAGAAGCACCGGCUAACUCCGUGCCAGCAGCCGCGGUAAUACGGAGGGUGCGAGCGUUAAUCGGAAUUACUGGGCGUAAAGCGCGCGUAGGCGGUCUGAUAAGCCGGUUGUGAAAGCCCCGGGCUCAACCUGGGAACGGCAUCCGGAACUGUCAGGCUAGAGUGCAGGAGAGGAAGGUAGAAUUCCCGGUGUAGCGGUGAAAUGCGUAGAGAUCGGGAGGAAUACCAGUGGCGAAGGCGGCCUUCUGGACUGACACUGACGCUGAGGUGCGAAAGCGUGGGUAGCAAACAGGAUUAGAUACCCCGGUAGUC